RNAcentral lists this ribosomal RNA (468 nucleotides) under uncultured bacterium. RNAcentral's name for it is "partial 16S ribosomal RNA". It matches the Rfam family "Bacterial small subunit ribosomal RNA", at positions 28 to 507 of the family's 1533-position model. The record is from RNAcentral.
GACGAACGCUGGCGGCGUGCUUAACACAUGCAAGUCGAACGGAAAGGCCCUGCUUUUGUGGGGUGCUCGAUUGGCGAACGGGUGAGUAACACGUGAGUAACCUGCCCUUGACUUUGGGAUAACUUCAGGAAACUGGGGCUAAUACCGGAUAGGAGCUCCUGCUGCAUGGUGGGGGUUGGAAAGUUUCGGCGGUUGGGGAUGGACUCGCGGCUUAUCAGCUUGUUGGUGGGGUAGUGGCUUACCAAGGCUUUGACGGGUAGCCGGCCUGAGAGGGUGACCGGCCACAUUGGGACUGCGAUACGGACCAGACUCCUACGGGAGGCAGUAGUGGGGAAUAUUGCACAAUGGGCGGAAGCCUGAUGCAGCAACGCCGCGUGCGGGAUGACGGCCUUCGGGUUGUAAACCGCUUUCGCCUGUGACGAAGCGUGAGUGACGGUAAUGGGUAAAGAAGCACCGGCUAACUACGUG